Molecule: non-coding RNA, 26 nt
Filed under: Cricetulus griseus (Chinese hamster)
Lineage: Eukaryota; Metazoa; Chordata; Mammalia; Rodentia; Cricetidae
Source: RNAcentral
GCGCAGGGCGGAGCACUAAACACGGG